This 1272-nucleotide ribosomal RNA is filed under the name Triticum aestivum (bread wheat). Its description in RNAcentral is "partial small subunit ribosomal RNA". The record is from RNAcentral. Lineage: Eukaryota; Viridiplantae; Streptophyta; Magnoliopsida; Poales; Poaceae.
AUGAAAAUGGCUGGCUCUGCUGUGCUGCUCAUUUCGCUCCUAUCGGCUAUCGCCCCCCUACCCUCUGAAGCCCUCAACGUGGGAGGUCAUCUGCUGAAAUCAAAGACGUUCCGUUCUCCGCCCAUCUUACUGGGGCCUGGAUCAGUCUCAAACAAGUACUACCAUGACGUCGACUUCCCCCGAGGCCACCUUGCAGUCAAGAGCUUUAAUGCUGAGGUCGUCGAUGAGAAUGGCGUCCCUGUCCCGCUCCAUGAGACUUACCUGCAUCACUGGGUUGCAGUACCAUACUAUGCUCUCAAGGACAACCAGAGCUCUGAUGCGCAAAAGGUUCCCGCAAUGCUUAAAGGGAAUGAUGGAGUGUGCAAGAGAGCACUAACCCAGUACUUCGGGCUCGGUUCCGAGACUCGCCACACCGCCACAUGGGUUCCUGAUCCUUAUGGAAUUGAGACCGGCAACCAAGAGAAGGCCCCUGAAGGCUAUGAGGAGAAAUGGCUGCUCAAUAUUCAUGCCAUCGACACGAGGGGCGUGGCCGACAAGCCUAGCUGCACCGAGUGCAAGUGCGACUUCUACAAUGUCACAAUUGAUGAGUAUGGGCGCACAGUCUCGAAGAACUACACUGGUGGGUUGCUUUGCUGCUAUGAUCAGACCCAGUGUCGGCUCAAAGCAGGGUUCAACGCCGAGGUGCGGAAGGUGUUCUUGCAGUACACCGUGACUUGGCUCGACUGGACUGAUGCGGUGGUGCCUGUCAAGAUCUACAUAUUUGACGUUACGGAUACCGCUAUGCUCGACGGGACUCAUGAACACUCUUGCAAGGUUGAGUAUCAAGUUGAGGAAUGCAGCGCGGAAAACCGAGCCAACAAUGAGUGCAUCCAUACUAAGACUACCAGAGCGGUCUUGCCGCGUGGAGGAGAUAUCGUGUACAGUGUUGCACACCAGCACUCUGGAGGAGUCGGUGCUUCUCUGCAUGGCCAGGAUGGACGCCUUCUAUGUGAAUCGCUUCCAACUUACGGCACAGGGAAGGAGGCAGGGAACGAGGCAAACUACAUUGUCGGCAUGUCGAGUUGCUACCCUAAGCCAGGAUCCAUCAAGGUCAGCGACGGCGAGGUGCUGACCAUCGUCUCCAACUACAGCAGCGACCGAGAGCACACCGGCGUCAUGGGCCUGGUCUACAUCCUCGUGGCCGAGCCGCAGCAGCCGGCUCCGGCGCCAUCCCUGUGCUUCAGUUUUCCGGCCCCAUGGUGCCUACCGGCAUGGAUGUCUAGCAACAUGUGA